This is a long non-coding RNA of Oncorhynchus keta (chum salmon), 905 nucleotides long. RefSeq lists it as uncharacterized. The record is from RefSeq and is a predicted model, not a curated record. The transcript has 4 exons. NCBI's taxonomy places the organism in Eukaryota, Metazoa, Chordata, Actinopteri, Salmoniformes, Salmonidae.
AAAAAAUAAUAAGUGGGUACAAAACCCGUCGCACACCGACACAUGACUUUCACAUAACAUACAAUAAAACAAUCUCCGACAAGGACAUGAGGGAAAACAGAGGGUUAAAUACACAACAUGUAAUUGAUGGGAUUGGAACCAGGUGUGAAGGAAGACAAGACAAAACCAAUGGAAAAUGAAAAAUGGAUCAGCGAUGGCUAGAAGGUUGGUGACGUCGACCGCCGAACACCACCCGUACAAGGAGAGGGACCAACCUCGGCGGAAUUCGUGACACAUGUGCCCGGUGGUCUGCAAACCCACAACCUUCUGGCUCCCAGCCCUGUGUGCUAUCACAAUUCCAACAAGUGAGGGUAAAGAUUUCACUUGGUUUCCCAAAUGAAGCACUGGGAAGCUGCAGGAACAGGGUUGGAGAGCCCACGGCAUACAGAAUGUAGGAGUAUUAUAUCCCCUGUCGCACAGCGUGAGGCAGCAUGCUCCUCAAACAGUGGUUAAUGGGUGGUGUGAAAGCACAGGUGAGAUUUAUGUGGAGCAAAACCUAAGAAAUCUGCACGGUUCCUUGGUGACAACCUCUGUGGUGUGUGCUGGGACCCCGAGGGGACUUCAGAAUCUGCUGGAGGCUGCAAUGUAUUUCUUCUUUGAAAAGCACCUUGGGGAUCAUCUGUUCACUUUCUCAGGUUGCUGUGGCACAUGCUUUAUUAACUCCAAAGUACACGUGCUAUUUCAACUGUUCUGGCUCUGUGCUCUCCGACACCACGUGGCAGUUCUUUCUUUUGUUCCUUUGUUAACCUUUAUAUAGUACAUACAAAAUAUUAUUGUGUUAAUGUCCUCUAACAAAGAAUAAGAAACAUGUUGAUUAGUGUGAUUGUAUUUGUCUCUUUGAAUAUACUGCGUAAUUAUGCCCUUAA